UACGUAGGGGGCUAGCGUUGUCCGGAUUUAUUGGGUGUAAAGGGUGCGUAGGCGGCUUUGUAAGUCAAUCGUGAAAUCUGUAGGCUUAACCUACAGCCUGCGUUUGAUACUGCAUAGCUUGAGUUGAGUAGAGGUAAGCGGAAUUUCCGGUGUAGCGGUGAAAUGCGUAGAUAUCGGAAGGAACACCUGUGGCGAAAGCGGCUUACUGGGCUUCUACUGACGCUGAGGCACGAAAGCAUGGGGAGCAAAC
This 250-nucleotide ribosomal RNA is filed under the name uncultured prokaryote. RNAcentral's name for it is "partial 16S ribosomal RNA". It matches the Rfam family "Bacterial small subunit ribosomal RNA", at positions 524 to 773 of the family's 1533-position model. The record is from RNAcentral.